RNAcentral lists this ribosomal RNA (274 nucleotides) under uncultured bacterium. Its description in RNAcentral is "partial 16S ribosomal RNA". It matches the Rfam family "Bacterial small subunit ribosomal RNA", at positions 523 to 796 of the family's 1533-position model. The record is from RNAcentral.
AUACGGAGGGUGCAAGCGUUACUCGGAAUCACUGGGCGUAAAGCGCGCGCGGGCGGCUAUUUAAGUUGGAUGUGAAAGCCUACGGCUCAACCGUAGAACUGCAUCCAAAACUAUUUAGCUAGAGUGUGGGAGAGGAAGAUGGAAUUAGUUGUGUAGGGGUAAAAUCCGUAGAGAUAACUAGGAAUACCAAAAGCGAAGGCAAUCUUCUGGAACACUACUGACGCUGAGGCGCGAAAGCGUGGGGAGCAAACAGGAUUAGAAACCCUAGUAGUCC